GAUUUUCCUAGUAUCACCGUUGUACAAUGAACUUAUACCAGACGACUAGACGAGAAGGAAAGUUACGAGACUGAGGAGAAAGAGGAAAGUAAAGACGAAGAUGAAGAGGGAGAAGAAGGCAGUUACGUUGCCGAUUUCCAUCCUCUGGAACUGAUUGGUCCUGCUUUUUGCCGGGUCAUGGAGAUGCUAAAAAGGAAGCUCAAACAAGCCAAUCUAUUGGAAAUUUGGGGAUUAAAGGAGAUCAAACCCAAGCCCCUUGUUCACCUCCACCUCCAUCCAAGAGAUUGAAGAUUGUGUCUCAAAUUAACCCUAGAGAAUCAAUUUCCCCAAAUCAAAGAACUCCACAAUAACGCCUCCUAACAAGAAUCAGCCUUGUCUUUGCCUCUCCUCUGUUAUGUACUAUGGUGGUCUUACCAAGGGAUGGUCUCACAGUCCUAUCUAUUGCACCCAUCUAACUGCUAGUCUCCUCACGCUCUGCCUCUGUUAAUUCAUUGGCUUCUAAUA
Molecule: unclassified non-coding RNA, 504 nt
Filed under: Hevea brasiliensis (rubber tree)
Lineage: Eukaryota; Viridiplantae; Streptophyta; Magnoliopsida; Malpighiales; Euphorbiaceae
Source: RNAcentral